GGGCGUAAAGCGGUACGUAGGCGGCGUGUUAAGCAAGAUGUGAAAGCCCCGGGCUCAGCCUGGGAAUUGCAUUUUGAACUGGCAUGCUAGAGUCCUGAAGAGGGUGGUAGAAUUUCCAGUGUAGCGGUGAGAUGCGUAGAUAUUGGAAGGAAUACCGGUGGCGAAGGCGGCCACCUGGUCAGAGACUGACGCUGAGGUACGAAAGCGUGGGGAGCAAACAGGAUUAGAUACCCUGGUAGUCCACGCCGUAAACGAUGUCAACUAGUUGUUCGUGUCAUUAAGACGUGAGUAACGCAGCUAACGCACUAAGUUGACCGCCUGGGGAGUACGGCCGCAAGGUUAAAACUCAAAUGAAUUGACGGGGGCCCGCACAAGCGGUGGAGCAUGUGGUUUAAUUCGAUGCAACGCGAAGAACCUUACCAUCCCUUGACAUCCAGUGAAUUUUUCAGAGAUGAAUUAGUGCCUUCGGGAACACUGAGACAGGUGCUGCAUGGCU
This 496-nucleotide ribosomal RNA is filed under the name uncultured Idiomarina sp. RNAcentral describes it as "bacterial SSU rRNA". It matches the Rfam family "Bacterial small subunit ribosomal RNA", at positions 556 to 1050 of the family's 1533-position model. Lineage: Bacteria; Pseudomonadati; Pseudomonadota; Gammaproteobacteria; Alteromonadales; Idiomarinaceae. The record is from RNAcentral.